GAUCAUGGCUCAGGAUGAACGCUAGCUACAGGCUUAAACACAUGCAAGUCGAGGGGCAGCAUGAACAUAGCUUGCUAUGUUUGAUGGCGACCGGCGCACGGGUGCGUAACACGUAUCCAAUCUGCCCGUUACUCGGGGAUAGCCUUCUGAAAAGGAAGAUUAAUACCCGAUGGCAUUCAUUAGCGGCAUCCCUUUAAUGUCAAAGAUUUAUCGCUGAAAGAUGGGCUCGCGUCUGAUUAGAUAGUUGGUGGGGUAACGGCCUACCAAGUCGACGAUCAGUAGCCGGACUGAGAGGUUGAACGGCCACAUUGGGACUGAGAUACGGCCCAGACUCCUACGGGAGGCAGCAGUGGGGGAUAUUGCGCAAUGGGGGAAACCCUGACGCAGCAACGCCGCGUGCAGGAUGACGGCCUUCGGGUUGUAAACUGUUGUCGCAAGGGAAGAAAAAAAUGACGGUACCUUGUGAGAAAGCCACGGCUAACUACGUG
Molecule: ribosomal RNA, 488 nt
Filed under: uncultured bacterium
Lineage: Bacteria
Description: bacterial SSU rRNA
Rfam family: Bacterial small subunit ribosomal RNA
Source: RNAcentral